CAGCAGCCGCGGUAAUACGAAGGGGGCUAGCGUUGUUCGGAUUUACUGGGCGUAAAGCGCACGUAGGCGGACUUUUAAGUCAGGGGUGAAAUCCCGGGGCUCAACCCCGGAACUGCCUUUGAUACUGGAAGUCUUGAGUAUGGUAGAGGUGAGUGGAAUUCCGAGUGUAGAGGUGAAAUUCGUAGAUAUUCGGAGGAACACCAGUGGCGAAGGCGGCUCACUGGACCAUUACUGACGCUGAGGUGCGAAAGCGUGGGGAGCAAACAGGAUUAGAUACCCCAGUAGUCCCUGUCUCUUAUAA
RNAcentral lists this ribosomal RNA (301 nucleotides) under uncultured bacterium. RNAcentral's name for it is "partial 16S ribosomal RNA". It matches the Rfam family "Bacterial small subunit ribosomal RNA", at positions 509 to 809 of the family's 1533-position model. The record is from RNAcentral.